RNAcentral lists this ribosomal RNA (42 nucleotides) under fungal sp. 5EP8-6A. Its description in RNAcentral is "partial 25S ribosomal RNA". The record is from RNAcentral. Lineage: Eukaryota; Fungi. RNAcentral also lists the same sequence under 1 other name.
UCUGAUCUCAAAUCAGGUAGGACUACCCGCUGAACUUAAGCA